This 749-nucleotide ribosomal RNA is filed under the name Bambusicularia brunnea. Its description in RNAcentral is "eukaryotic LSU rRNA". It matches the Rfam family "Eukaryotic large subunit ribosomal RNA", at positions 76 to 854 of the family's 3401-position model. Lineage: Eukaryota; Fungi; Ascomycota; Sordariomycetes; Magnaporthales; Pyriculariaceae. The record is from RNAcentral.
UGCCUCAGUAACGGCGAGUGAAGCGGCAACAGCUCAAAUUUGAAAUCUGGCCCCCCGGCCCGAGUUGUAAUUUGCAGAGGAUGCUUUUGGCGAGGCACCUACCGAGUCCCCUGGAAUGGGGCGCCACAGAGGGUGAGAGCCCCGUAUGGUAGGACGCCGAGCCUCUGUAAAGCUCCUUCGACGAGUCGAGUAGUUUGGGAAUGCUGCUCUAAAUGGGAGGUAAAUUUCUUCUAAAGCUAAAUACCGGCCAGUGACCGAUAGCGCACAAGUAGAGUGAUCGAAAGAUGAAAAGCACUUUGAAAAGAGGGUUAAAAAGUACGUGAAAUUGUUGAAAGGGAAGCGCUUGUGACCAGACUUGCGCCCGGCGGAUCAUCCAGCGUUCUCGCUGGUGCACUCCGCCGGGCUCAGGCCAGCAUCGGUUUCCGCCGGGGGACAAAGGCUUCGGGAACGUAGCUCCUCUCGGGGAGUGUUAUAGCCCGUCGCGUAAUACCCCGGCGGGGACCGGCGACCGCGCUUCGGCAAGGAUGCUGGCGUAAUGGUCAUCAGCGACCCGUCUUGAAACACGGACCGAGGAGUCAAGCAUUAGUGCGAGUGUUUGGGUGUAAAACCCGCACGCGUAAUGAAAGUGAACGUAGGUGAGAGCUUCGGCGCAUCAUCGACCGAUCCUGAUGUUUUCGGAUGGAUUUGAGUAGGAGCAUUAACGCUUGGACCCGAAAGAUGGUGAACUAUACUUGAAUAGGGUGAAGCCA